Mycena crocata is the source of this 98-nucleotide non-coding RNA. The record is from the annotation of a GenBank genome assembly. Lineage: Eukaryota; Fungi; Basidiomycota; Agaricomycetes; Agaricales; Mycenaceae.
GGCCGUCUAGCUCAGUUGGUUAGAGCGUCGUGCUAAUAUGAUCAAGAUCCUUGGAAAGUAUUACGCGAAGGUCUUGGGUUCGACCCCCACGAUGGCCA